CAACUUUCAACAACGGAUCUCUUGGUUCUGGCAUCGAUGAAGAACGCAGCGAAAUGCGAUAAGUAGUGCGAAUUGCAGAAUUCAGUGAAUCAUCGAAUCUUUGAACGCACAUUGCGCCCUUUGGUAUUCCAAAGGGCAUGCCUGUUCGAGCGUCAUUU
This 158-nucleotide ribosomal RNA is filed under the name Pyrenophora graminea. RNAcentral's name for it is "5.8S ribosomal RNA". It matches the Rfam family "5.8S ribosomal RNA". Rfam says of the family: 5.8S ribosomal RNA (5.8S rRNA) is a component of the large subunit of the eukaryotic ribosome. It is transcribed by RNA polymerase I as part of the 45S precursor that also contains 18S and 28S rRNA. The record is from RNAcentral. Lineage: Eukaryota; Fungi; Ascomycota; Dothideomycetes; Pleosporales; Pleosporaceae.